GAUGAACGCUGGCGGCGUGCCUAACACAUGCAAGUCGAGCGGAGUCCAGCCUUUAAGACCUUCGGGUCAAAGAGGGGAAGACUGAGUGGCGGACGGGUGAGUAACACGUGGGCAACCUGGCUCAUAGAGGGGGAUAACAGAGAGAAAUUUCUGCUAAUACCGCAUAAGCACACACUGCCGCAUGGCAGAGGGUGAAAAGAGAAUCGCUAUGAGAUGGACCCGCGUCUGAUUAGCCAGUUGGCAGGGUAAGAGCCUACCAAAGCGACGAUCAGUAGCCGAUCUGAGAGGAUGAACGGCCACAUUGGGACUGAGACACGGCCCAAACUCCUACGGGGGGCAGCAGUGGGGGAUAUUGCACAAUGGGGGGAACCCUGAUGCAGCGACGCCGCGUGAGUGAAGAAGUAUUUCGGUAUGUAAAGCUCUAUGAGCGGGGAAGAUAAUGACAGUACCUGAAUAAGAAGCCCCGGCUAACUACGUG
Molecule: ribosomal RNA, 478 nt
Filed under: uncultured bacterium
Lineage: Bacteria
Description: partial 16S ribosomal RNA
Rfam family: Bacterial small subunit ribosomal RNA
Source: RNAcentral